AUUGAACGCUGGCGGCAGGCCUAACACAUGCAAGUCGAGCGGAUGAAGGGAGCUUGCUCCUGGAUUCAGCGGCGGACGGGUGAGUAAUGCCUAGGAAUCUGCCGGGUAGUGGGGGAUAACGUCCGGAAACGGGCGCUAAUAACGCAUACGUCCUGAGGGAGAAAGAGGGGGAUCUUCGGACCGCACGCUAUCAGAUGAGCCUAGGUCGGAUUAGCUAGUUGGUGGGGUAAGGGCCUACCAAGUCGACGAUCCGUGGCUGGUCUGAGAGGAUGAUCAGUCACACUGGAACUUGGACACGGUCCAGACUCCUACGGGAGGCAGCAGAGGCCAACAGUGGACAAUAGUCGAAAACCUUGUCCAACCAUGCCACGUGUGUUAAGACGGUCUUCGGUGUGUGAAGCCCGUUUAGUUGGUAGGAAGGGCAGUAAGUUAUUACCUUGCUUUUUUGACGUUACCGACAGAAUAAGCACCGGCUAACUUCGUG
Molecule: ribosomal RNA, 484 nt
Filed under: uncultured bacterium
Lineage: Bacteria
Description: partial 16S ribosomal RNA
Rfam family: Bacterial small subunit ribosomal RNA
Source: RNAcentral